AGAGUUUGAUCCUGGCUCAGGACGAACGCUGGCGGCACGCUUAACACAUGCAAGUCGAACGAGAGAAGAGGAGCUUGCUUUUCUGAUCUAGUGGCGGACGGGUGAGUAACACGUGAGCAAUCUGCCUUUCAGAGGGGGAUACCGAUUGGAAACGAUCGUUAAUACCGCAUAACAUAAUUGAACCGCAUGAUUUGAUUAUCAAAGAUUUAUCGCUGAAAGAUGAGCUCGCGUCUGAUUAGCUAGUUGGUAAGGUAACGGCUUACCAAGGCGACGAUCAGUAGCCGGACUGAGAGGUUGAUCGGCCACAUUGGGACUGAGACACGGCCCAGACUCCUACGGGAGGCAGCAGUGGGGAAUAUUGCACAAUGGAGGAAACUCUGAUGCAGCGAUGCCGCGUGAGGGAAGAAGGUUUUAGGAUUGUAAACCUCUGUCUUCAGGGACGAAAAAAGACGGUACCUGAGGAGGAAGCUCCGGCUAACUACGUGCCAGCAGCCGCGGUAAUACGUAGGGAGCGAGCGUUGUCCGGAAUUACUGGGUGUAAAGGGAGCGUAGGCGGGAUCGCAAGUCAGAUGUGAAAACUAUGGGCUUAACCCAUAAACUGCAUUUGAAACUGUGGUUCUUGAGUGAAGUAGAGGUAAGCGGAAUUCCUAGUGUGGCGGUGAAAUGCGUAGAUAUUAGGAGGAACAUCAGUGGCGAAGGCGGCUUACUGGGCUUUAACUGACGCUGAGGCUCGAAAGCGUGGGGAGCAAACAGGAUUAGAUACCCUGGUAGUCCACGCCGUAAACGAUGAUUACUAGGUGUGGGGGGACUGACCCCUUCCGUGCCGCAGCAAACGCAAUAAGUAAUCCACCUGGGGAGUACGACCGCAAGGUUGAAACUCAAAGGAAUUGACGGGGGCCCGCACAAGCAGUGGAGUAUGUGGAUUAAUUCGAAGCAACGCGAAGAACCUUACCAGGUCUUGACAUCGUAUGCAUAGCUCAGAGAUGAGUGAAAUCUCUUCGGAGACAUAUAGACAGGUGGUGCAUGGUUGUCGUCAGCUCGUGUCGUGAGAUGUUGGGUUAAGUCCCGCAACGAGCGCAACCCUUACUGUUAGUUGCUACGCAAGAGCACUCUAGCAGGACUGCCGUUGACAAAACGGAGGAAGGUGGGGAUGACGUCAAAUCAUCAUGCCCCUUAUGACCUGGGCCUCACACGUACUACAAUGGCUGUCAACAGAGGGAAGCAAAGCCGCGAGGUGGAGCGAACCCCUAAAAGCAGUCUUAGUUCGGAUUGUAGGCUGCAACCCGCCUACAUGAAGUCGGAAUUGCUAGUAAUCGCAGAUUAGCAUGCUGCGGUGAAUACGUUCCCGGGCCUUGUACACACCGCCCGUCACGCCAUGGGAGUCGGUAACACCCGAAGCCUGUAGUCUAACCGCAAGGAGGACGCAGUCGAAGGUGGGAUUGAUGACUGGGGUGAAGUCGUAACAAGGUA
Molecule: ribosomal RNA, 1470 nt
Filed under: metagenome
Description: bacterial SSU rRNA
Rfam family: Bacterial small subunit ribosomal RNA
Source: RNAcentral